AGGGGGCAAGCGUUAUCCGGAUUUACUGGGUGUAAAGGGAGCGUAGACGGUGCGCCAAGUCUGGAGUGAAAUGCCGCGGCUUAACCGCGGAACUGCUUUGGAAACUGGCGCGCUUGAGUGCGGGAGGGGUAAGCGGAAUUCCUAGUGUAGCGGUGAAAUGCGUAGAUAUUAGGAGGAACACCGGUGGCGAAGGCGGCUUACUGGACCGUAACUGACGUUGAGGCUCGAAAGCGUGGGGAGCAAACAGGAUUAGAUACCCUGGUAGUCCACGCCGUAAACGAUGAUUACUAGGUGUCGGGGCUCCAAGGAGCUCCGGUGCCGCCGCAAACGCAUUAAGUAAUCCACCUGGGGAGUACGUUCGCAAGAAUG
RNAcentral lists this ribosomal RNA (369 nucleotides) under uncultured Eubacteriales bacterium. RNAcentral describes it as "bacterial SSU rRNA". It matches the Rfam family "Bacterial small subunit ribosomal RNA", at positions 529 to 896 of the family's 1533-position model. The record is from RNAcentral. Lineage: Bacteria; Bacillati; Bacillota; Clostridia; Eubacteriales.